CCACAGCAGGAGUUUGAGCUGAGUGGAGACAACCAUCUUCUCACGGCUUUUGCAGCUCGUGUCUCCUCUCUGGACCUGAGGACGAGAGAACACAAUGUAAAGCUCUGCAGGACGGAUGUUGCCGCUUUAAGCUGUGGGGUUACUCGCGGUCAAAACAGAGAAACCGACGCCAAGCACGUGCUCAGCCCAAACACUCCUUAAACCGCAAAUGCCCGAUAGUAACCUCUUCAUCAUCCUCUUCAUCCUCAUUUCACACCUCCUGACAGGUUCAGGAGCACCUACUGUAUGGAGGUGAAACAGGUUCUGGGUGGCUUUCCAGCUGGAUUCCAGUCUUCACAGGGUUCAGAUAUACUCGGAUUUUGGAGAGAGAAAAAAUUUGGUAAGUGUGUCAUGAAGAAGUUGCUCCAGAUGAAGUCAUAUAUUUGUGAACAUUUAGUGAAAGAGGAAGUGAGAAGCUCCGAGCCACAGGAGAGAGGAAUGUUCUAGAUCUGCCUCUGGUCCGUCUUUCUCUUAUUUAUUGCAGGUAAAUGAGAUCUUGUUUGCUGAGAAGGUUCUAAUGAACUGACAGAUUUGUGCAAUUACACAUUAAUGAAGACGUGAAGACCAACUUCCAUCAUCACACAAGCUCCAUCACCAUCGAAUAAAAUACAGUAAAACACCAAGAUCCUGUUUUUAUAUACAUGGCUUUAAUGACACAAACACACACACACACACACACACACACACACACACACACACACACACAGAGCAGUGGGUCCACUUGUGGAAGGCGUUGCCGUUUUAAGACUGCAGUAAUGUGUAGCUGAGUGAAUUAUUAAAAACAAAAAAAAACACAAUAGCGAAUAAAUAAAAGAUUAAAAAUCAAACUCAUCUCAUUUACACGGUGAGGAGAAAUCAAAAAUUAAACUGUCUGGUUGGAGGAUGAUGAAGAAACAGAUAAAUCAACCCUUGUGUUCCUCAGAGCUGCAGUUUGUCCGAUAGUAACCUCAGGAAAGGAGGGGGGCGGGGCUAAAUAUAGCUCUAUACACAAAUACACGGCAUCAAAUGAGACAGUGGAGAGAACAAAAGAUUGGAAAAAGAGGUUUGAAAAACAAGGAGAAUCUGCAUGGCAGCAAAAAACACACACUUAUAUAUCACACUCUAACAGCGUCAGACCUUCAGAGAUGUUCUACCUGAACCAAUCCACCUCUUAGUCCCGUCAUUACGACGCCACUGUUAUGGAAGGCAUCAAUUUUAGAGAGAUAGGCAGUAGAACUGCGUCACACGGGUUUGUUUUCCUCUUCACGAUGACAAUGUUACAGGGAUCGCAGAAGAACAUGUACCUGCAGAAGUGAAACAUCUCAGUCCAGAAUAACGGACGCGUCUCGCUCGUCUGUCCAAUCUGUCCAUUCCUUAGCUUUUCUUGAAAAGUCUAAAAAGCUCACGUGAACAGAUUUGGGAUCGUCCGGUUUGCUACAGACGCGGUUUGCAAGCUCUCCGACCGUCCAAUCAGAGGACGUGAAAACGCGGACAUUAUCGUACGCCUGCUAGAGGGCUUCAGAAUCACCAAAUCACAGUCUGAUUGGUUCCGAUUACAAACACAUGGAUCGUGAGCUACAGCUUGCAGAGUUUAUAGGCAGAUUUCUUUGACCCUGGCAACACGUGAUGCGACGCUGAAAUCCGAUUGGAUAGAAACUGAAAUUAAACUUCUUGAAGCAGCGCGCCGUAGACCAGACGGAUUGAUAGACUUUAUUGAUCCCCGUGACGGAAAUGAUUGUGUUACAGCAGCAAAAACUGGGAGGAACCCGAGAGGAACCCUUUAAAUGAGGAGAAUAGAUGAUUGGGUAGAAUUAAAUACAUGUUCAUGAACAGAAAUCUAUUCAAGAGUAAGUCAGUGAUUAAUGAUAGAGUUGAGAUCUGCAGAGAAGGAUUUACUGGACCUGACGACCUGACGAUGAUCUCUCACUCUUCCCCCCAAAAACUGAGAACCCAGUGAAAGUUUUGUACAUGUGCACUUUUUUUAUUAUAUUUU
Silurus meridionalis is the source of this 2011-nucleotide long non-coding RNA. RefSeq lists it as uncharacterized. The transcript is spliced from 4 exons. NCBI's taxonomy places the organism in Eukaryota, Metazoa, Chordata, Actinopteri, Siluriformes, Siluridae. The record is from RefSeq and is a predicted model, not a curated record.